This 348-nucleotide ribosomal RNA is filed under the name uncultured bacterium. RNAcentral's name for it is "bacterial SSU rRNA". It matches the Rfam family "Bacterial small subunit ribosomal RNA", at positions 29 to 403 of the family's 1533-position model. The record is from RNAcentral.
AACGAACGCUGGCGGCAGGCCUAACACAUGCAAGUCGAACGCUCCGCAAGGGGAGUGGCGCACGGGUGAGUAACACGUGGGAACCUACCUUCUGGUACGGAACAACCAAGGGAAACUUUGGCUAAGACCGUAUACGACCUCCGGGUGAAAGAUUGAUCGCCGGAAGAGGGGCCCGCGUCCGAUUAGGUAGUUGGUGAGGUAACGGCUCACCAAGCCUUCGAUCGGUAGCUGGUCUGAGAGGAUGACCAGCCACACUGGGACUGAGACACGGCCCACGACUCCUACGGGGAGGCAGCAGUGGGGAAUAUUGGGACAAUGGGCGCAAGCCUGAUCCAGCCAUGCCGCGUG